UUCCAGACUCCUACGGGAGGCAGCAGUGGGGAAUAUUGCACAAUGGGGGAAACCCUGAUGCAGCGACGCCGCGUGAGCGAUGAAGUAUUUCGGUAUGUAAAGCUCUAUCAGCAGGGAAGAAAAUGACGGUACCUGACCAAGAAGCUCCGGCUAAAUACGUGCCAGCAGCCGCGGUAAUACGUAUGGAGCAAGCGUUAUCCGGAUUUACUGGGUGUAAAGGGAGCGCAGGCGGCCUUGCAAGUCUGAUGUGAAAGGCCGGGGCCCAACCCCGGGACUGCAUUGGAAACUGCGAGGCUGGAGUGUCGGAGAGGCAGGCGGAAUUCCUAGUGUAGCGGUGAAAUGCGUAGAUAUUAGGAGGAACACCAGUGGCGAAGGCGGCCUGCUGGACGAUGACUGACGCUGAGGCUCGAAAGCGUGGGGAGCAAACAGGAUUAGAUACCCCAGUAAU
This 448-nucleotide ribosomal RNA is filed under the name uncultured bacterium. Its description in RNAcentral is "partial 16S ribosomal RNA". It matches the Rfam family "Bacterial small subunit ribosomal RNA", at positions 329 to 794 of the family's 1533-position model. The record is from RNAcentral.